CUUAAAAAUUUCGCAGAUAUGAAUAAAACCGACAACACAAAGCAAGUACGGCAUGGCAUUUUACUACUGAAAUGUUUACACUCACCCAAACCGGCACAACAACGAUUAAGUUAUCAAAGAUAUCAACAUCAAAACAUCAAAACAAUUAUUAUACAAACUUUGUUUCACGGUUGAACAGCCACUAAUUCAUGAAACUGCAGGCUUA
Molecule: non-coding RNA, 205 nt
Organism: Paramuricea clavata
Lineage: Eukaryota; Metazoa; Cnidaria; Anthozoa; Malacalcyonacea; Plexauridae
Source: the annotation of a GenBank genome assembly